AUCUAGCUAACGAGUUCCAAAUAGGACGAAACGCGCGUUCUGGAU
RNAcentral lists this non-coding RNA (45 nucleotides) under Schistosoma mansoni. The record is from RNAcentral. Lineage: Eukaryota; Metazoa; Platyhelminthes; Trematoda; Strigeidida; Schistosomatidae.